AUUGAACGCUGGCGGCAUGCUUUACACAUGCAAGUCGAACGGUAACAGGGAAAAGCUUGCUUUUCUGCUGACGAGUGGCGAACGGGUGAGUAACACAUCGGAACGUGCCCUGUAGUGGGGGAUAACUACUCGAAAGAGUGGCUAAUACCGCAUACAACCUGAGGGUAAAAGUGGGGGACCGCAAGGCCUCACGCUAUAGGAGCGGCCGAUGGAAGAUUAGGUAGUUGGUAGGGUAAAGGCCUACCAAGCCGACGAUCUUUAGCGGGUCUGAGAGGACGAUCCGCCACACUGGGACUGAGACACGGCCCAGACUCCUACGGGAGGCAGCAGUGGGGAAUUUUGGACAAUGGGGGCAACCCUGAUCCAGCAAUGCCGCGUGAGUGAAGAAGGCCUUCGG
This 397-nucleotide ribosomal RNA is filed under the name uncultured bacterium. RNAcentral's name for it is "bacterial SSU rRNA". It matches the Rfam family "Bacterial small subunit ribosomal RNA", at positions 30 to 421 of the family's 1533-position model. The record is from RNAcentral.